GAUCCUGCCCACAAAGCUUAAAAUCUAUGUUUGCAAUUAAAAGUGAAGCAUACAAAUGUUGAUUGAGAAGAAAGUAACAGGAAAAAAAAGCAAUUUCUGCCGGAGAAAAGUAGCCUGUCUUUGAUGUCUUCUGUAAAAUGUAUGGUAAGGGCUUUCAUGGGCACUGCAGUAAAACUGGGUCUUCUGCUUUCUUUUUUUCUUUUUUUUUUUUUUUUAAAGAAGAUUUCAUUACAUAUGUUUUCAGAGAACUUCCUGCCUGUGUGAGAAUACUACGUUGUGUGUGGGAAGAUGAAGCAUUUGCUGGCGACAGGUAGCGUUCCACAUCACAUUGACACAGUGCAAUUAGUCCUGAAAGUUAAAUGAUGCUGUGAAAAAGAAGGCUGGCGAGUGAUACAAAGAAGCUUCUGCAGUGUCCCAGGAAGAGAGGCACUACCCCGAGUGGGCGUCUGUGGAGCAGCCCGGGUACCUUCCCAAGUGUUCUGAUGUGAACCUGUAGACUGAACACAAGAUUACUCAGGAGUUCAGAUUUAAAUGCUAAUUUUUGUUUAAAGAUAAACAAUAGUAAUUACUACUAAUUGCAUGUGUACAGUUCUUCUUACCCAGCAAGUGCAUAGCACUUUACAAAUAUUGGUGGAGUCAGUCUUGUAGUGCCAAGAAAAUGUAAGCAAGCAUAAAUUUGGGCACUCGGCGUGAAACAAAUCUGGUAAUACAUGUGUGUAAUGAAA
Grus americana (Whooping crane) is the source of this 725-nucleotide long non-coding RNA. RefSeq lists it as uncharacterized. Lineage: Eukaryota; Metazoa; Chordata; Aves; Gruiformes; Gruidae. The transcript is spliced from 3 exons. The record is from RefSeq and is a predicted model, not a curated record.